This 251-nucleotide ribosomal RNA is filed under the name uncultured bacterium. RNAcentral's name for it is "partial 16S ribosomal RNA". It matches the Rfam family "Bacterial small subunit ribosomal RNA", at positions 524 to 776 of the family's 1533-position model. The record is from RNAcentral.
UACGAGGACGAUCCAGCGUUGCUCGGAUUCAUUGGGCGUAAAGGGUGCGUAGGCGGCGCGGUAAGUCGGGUGUGAAAUCUCGGGCUUAACUCCGAACUGCAUCGAUACUGCCGUGCUUGAGGACUGGAGAGGAGACUGGAAUUUACGGUGUAGCGGUGAAAUGCGUAGAUAUCGUAAGGAAGACCAGUGGCGAAGGCGGGUCUCUGGACAGUUCCUGACGCUGAGAGACGAAAGCGUGGGGAUCAAACAGG